CACGUAGGGGGCGAGCGUUGUCCGGAUUUAUUGGGCGUAAAGAGCUCGUAGGCGGCUCGGUAAGUCAGGUGUGAAACCUCCAGGCUCAACCUGGAGACGCCACCUGAUACUGCCGUGGCUAGAGUCCGGUAGAGGAGCGUAGAAUUCCUGGUGUAGCGGUGAAAUGCGCAGAUAUCAGGAGGAAUACCAGCGGCGAAGGCGGCGCUCUGGGCCGGUACUGACGCUGAGGAGCGAAAGCGUGGGGAGCAAACAGG
RNAcentral lists this ribosomal RNA (254 nucleotides) under uncultured bacterium. Its description in RNAcentral is "partial 16S ribosomal RNA". It matches the Rfam family "Bacterial small subunit ribosomal RNA", at positions 524 to 776 of the family's 1533-position model. RNAcentral also lists the same sequence under 1 other name. The record is from RNAcentral.